UACAAGAAAUGAAGAGCAGGACAGUUUCAGAAAAACCUGGGAAGACUUCUAUGAAGAGAGGCAAAGUGAAAUGAGAAGAACCAGGACAUUGUACACAGUAGGUGCAAUAUUAUGCAAUGAUCAACUGUGAAUGUGUGAUAAUUAAAAUGAAUUUUAAGGUUUACAAAUGACAACUAUUCUCAGCAAUACAAUGAUCCAAGACAAUUCUUUUUUUUUUUUUUUUUUUUUUUUUUUUUUUUUUUUUCAUAG
This 249-nucleotide long non-coding RNA is filed under the name Monodelphis domestica (gray short-tailed opossum). RNAcentral's name for it is "lncRNA (ENSMODG00000040732.1)". Lineage: Eukaryota; Metazoa; Chordata; Mammalia; Didelphimorphia; Didelphidae. The record is from RNAcentral.